CAACGACUCAUUGGUUGUGAUAAAGGUUAGACUCUCCCGGCUGCAUGGCCAAUAAAGGGCAAGAAUAAAGCGGGUUCCGCCUCUUCCUCGGGUGACUGGGUCCUUCCGUUGACGCUGAGCAACGCUCGUGUUCCCUGGGCGUUACUGACCGGUGCAGUGAUCUCCAAGAUGGAGCUUGCAAGGUUUCCUCUGAGAUCACUCGCUCAAAAAGCACUGGCACAAGAAACCUCCUCUAAGACUCUGCCUCUCGAGAACCUGGCCUAAGACAAUGAGCAUAUGAUUUUAAAACGGUCAUGCAGAGAAGACAAGAAUUGAAAAGAUUAAUAAUAAAGACAAAAGCAACAACAAAAGGGCAAAACUAGAUUUUUUUCCUACUUCUAGUGCAAUCUCUUCUUAGCCAAAAUAGGUGAUAAAAAAUGACAGUUUAAUGAGAUCUAACAAAAAAGUCAGCUAAAAGAACUAGAAACUGUAAAGAAGACUAUUUGAAAUAUAGAUUUCUGUCCGCUUUUCUAACAAAUAAAUCUUGCCUUAGUGACUAUAAUGGUUUCAGAUAUCAGCUAAUGAUAACAUAAAGACACUAUCAGCAAGAUGUUUAAAAUCUAUGCAUCUAGAAUAUGAAGCUGAAUUUCAACAGUGUUUUCACUGAUAUCAUGCAACACUUUAUACAAUUUCACUAAAUUAAGUGAUAAAUGUUUAGAAUUCUAAGAUUUCUUCUGAGGUUUCUUGCUUAACAGUGAAAGAUAAAACAAAACAAAAAUAGCAACAACUGAAAAGAAACCAGCUCAUACGCCACUGGGGAAAUAUUUCUUCCCUGUCACAGUUAAAAUAGCUAAAAUAACUUGAAGAAUUUUUAAAAAGAGACAAAAUCACAUUCUUUAGGUAACAUACACUGAAGGGAAUAUGCAUAGAAAAUAUUGUGGAAAGUUGAAGAAACAAGGAUUAGAACAAAUUGUGAAGUGCGGGAGGUUCAUAUUCAUUUGAAUGAAAGUAUAAGUGUUUCUAAUAUGUCUCAGCUCAUGGUAUUUGUUAAAUUCUGGGUCAAUAAUAAAACAUAGGAAAAACGAUUUUUCUUAAGUUAUUAAAAGUAUCCCAGAGAGGUUAUGUUUUCAUUAUGUUUAUAAAUGACUUCUUUAAUAAAAACAAUUUUUCAUGGGAAAACAAAAUUGAUUCGUUUUAGUGGAGCAACUGAUUUCAAUAGAAUAAAUGAAUUUUCUGGAAUAUGGUUACAGUGCUAAUAAUACAUGUCAAAUCAUAUCACUGGAUUCUUCAUCGGCAAGUUAUAAUAACAAGAAGGUUGGGGCCAAACUGUUCAAACUUCUACAGGUUAUCAUCAACCUAGUUAUUUUAAUAAAAACAAGACUUUAAAAUGUUAGUGUCAACACUUUACAGUACUUUUUAAUUAUCUGUAGAAUGGACAUAAAGUUUUUUCAUACAACAAAGAUAGGUUCACUGAUAUUUUGUGGCAAAAUACUUAAAAGAGCUGCCAAAGUGAAAAUGAGCUACACAUUUUCAUUUUACAAAAAGGAAAGUGUUUCAAAUUUUCUGUCCUUUCCUGUACUGACAAAUGGCUCUCUGUAAAAUGCAGUGUUGGCAGAUAUUUUGGGGAACAGAAAAAAGGAACUCUUUAUCUUUUCCUUCAAGAUAACAGUGACCUUUUAACAAUGUGUGGAAAAGUAAUUGCUUUUCAAAAGCAAGUACAAUUUGGGGCCAGCACGGGGCCAGCACGGGGUGUAGUGGUCAAGUUGGUGUGCUCUGCUUUGGCGGACUAGAGUUCUCUGCUUCAGAUCUUGGCCGGGGACCUACACACCGCUCAUCAAGCCAUGCUGUGGUGGCAUCCCACAUAGAAGAACUAGAAG
Equus caballus (horse) is the source of this 1856-nucleotide long non-coding RNA. RefSeq lists it as uncharacterized. The record is from RefSeq and is a predicted model, not a curated record. Lineage: Eukaryota; Metazoa; Chordata; Mammalia; Perissodactyla; Equidae.